GAUGAACGCUGGCGGCGUGCUUAACACAUGCAAGUCGAACGGGAAACCUUUUAUUGGGGCUUCGGCAGAUUUAGCUGGUUUCUAGUGGCGGUCUGGUGAGUAACGCGUGGGUAAACUGCACUAUACAGGGGGAUAACAACCAGAAAUGGUUGCUAAUACCGCAUAAGCGCACCGGGCCGCAUGGUGCGGUUUGGAAGACUCGGGUGGUAUAGGAUGGACCCGCGUUGGAUUAGCCAGUUGGCAGGGUAACGGCCUACCAAGGCGACGAUCCAUAGCCGGCCUGAGAGGAUGAACGGCCACAUUGGGACUGAGACACGGCCCAGACUCCUACGGGAGGCAGCAGUGGGGAAUAUUGCACAAUGGGGGAAACCCUGAUGCAGCGACGCCGCGUGAAGGAAGAAGUACCUCGGUAUGUAAAGCUCUAUCAGCAGAGAAGAUAGUGACGGUACCUGACUAAGAAGCCCCGGCUAACUACGUG
RNAcentral lists this ribosomal RNA (478 nucleotides) under uncultured bacterium. RNAcentral describes it as "partial 16S ribosomal RNA". It matches the Rfam family "Bacterial small subunit ribosomal RNA", at positions 28 to 507 of the family's 1533-position model. The record is from RNAcentral.